This 608-nucleotide ribosomal RNA is filed under the name uncultured bacterium. RNAcentral's name for it is "bacterial SSU rRNA". It matches the Rfam family "Bacterial small subunit ribosomal RNA", at positions 73 to 677 of the family's 1533-position model. The record is from RNAcentral.
GAGGAACUUGCUUCCCGAUUUAGCGGCGGACGGGUGAGUAAUGCCUAGGAAUCUGCCUAUUAGUGGGGGAUAACGUUCCGAAAGGAACGCUAAUACCGCAUACGUCCUACGGGAGAAAGUGGGGGAUCUUCGGACCUCACGCUAAUAGAUGAGCCUAGGUCGGAUUAGCUAGUUGGUGGGGUAACGGCUCACCAAGGCGACGAUCCGUAGCUGGUCUGAGAGGAUGAUCAGCCACACUGGAACUGAGACACGGUCCAGACUCCUACGGGAGGCAGCAGUGGGGAAUAUUGGACAAUGGGCGAAAGCCUGAUCCAGCCAUGCCGCGUGUGUGAAGAAGGUCUUCGGAUUGUAAAGCACUUUAAGUUGGGAGGAAGGGUUGUAAACUAAUAUCUUGCAGCUUUGACGUUACCAACAGAAUAAGCACCGGCUAACUCUGUGCCAGCAGCCGCGGUAAUACAGAGGGUGCAAGCGUUAAUCGGAAUUACUGGGCGUAAAGCGCGCGUAGGCGGCUUAGUAAGUUGGAUGUGAAAGCCCCGGGCUCAACCUGGGAACUGCAUCCAAAACUGCUUGGCUAGAGUACAGUAGAGGGUGGUGGAAUUUCCUGUGUA